UACAGAGGGUGCGAGCGUUAAUCGGAAUUACUGGGCGUAAAGCGCGCGUAGGCGGUUGUGUAAGUUGGAGGUGAAAUCCCCGGGCUUAACCUGGGCACUGCCUUCAAAACUGCACGGCUAGAGUACGGGAGAGGGGGGUAGAAUUCCAGGUGUAGCGGUGAAAUGCGUAGAGAUCUGGAGGAAUACCGAUGGCGAAGGCAGCCCCCUGGCCUGAUACUGACGCUGAGGUGCGAAAGCAUGGGGAGCAAACAGG
RNAcentral lists this ribosomal RNA (253 nucleotides) under uncultured bacterium. RNAcentral describes it as "partial 16S ribosomal RNA". It matches the Rfam family "Bacterial small subunit ribosomal RNA", at positions 524 to 776 of the family's 1533-position model. The record is from RNAcentral.